Molecule: long non-coding RNA, 2097 nt
Filed under: Sorghum bicolor (sorghum)
Lineage: Eukaryota; Viridiplantae; Streptophyta; Magnoliopsida; Poales; Poaceae
Description: long non-coding RNA (SBIC_LNC006843)
Source: RNAcentral
UACACUUUUGGUUAUGUUGGUGUUUUCCACAAACAGGAAAACUUUCAAUAUCAACCUGGGAAGUCCUGAGAUACAAACUCACAUUGGGGAUAAAGGAGACACAUGAAGUUUAACAAUUUGCACAAGAAGGACAUAACUCAUUCAUCAUAAAGAGAUGAUCCAUGGAGGGUGCCACAAACACGAUGCACAACCGCUACGAAUGGGAAGCUUCCACAAGGUGAGAUGGUACCAUCACUCUUCAAUUAAGGUAACAUCUUAAGGUACUUGACUAUCACUUUUAUAAGUUUCUCCUUGGUUCUGGCGUUCACAUAAAAUAAAGAGACAAACAUGUAUGAUUUAUAACUCCAAAUUAACCAACUCAAUUAAUUCAACAUGUUUAGUCCUUUAAUCUUUGUUCUUACGUGAUCCCACACUCCUAAUCAUAUAAGCUAAUAUGUUGCAAAUUCAAUCUUUGGAAGAUAUAAGCAAAACAUAAAUAUAGAUAGAUUAUCUUUCCAUUAGGUCAAGCAAUCUGAUCUGACAAAUGUUUCAAAUACUACAUUCACGAUCCAUCAACUUUGUCUUGCUCACUAUGCUUAAGGAUUAGAGAAGAACAAAUACACUUUUGGUUCUGUUGGUGUUUUCCACCAACAGGGCCCAUGCACUUGAUCUCUGCCUUGUCUCUAUGAACAGGUACACUUCAAGCAAAACAUGGAGGAGUUUUACAACUCCCAGACUCCACCAAGUGAAGGACCUGGAUCUAUGAGCACAAACACACUGAGCAGGGUAUUGCCAACACCGCACUUCGAACUACUGUGCAAUCGAAGAACGUGGGUGACUCCAUUUCAAGAGGUGCAAAUGUCAAGGUCCACACCUAAUCAAAUAAUGCAACUAAAGGAUGAAGAGAGUGAGAAGUCUUGACCAGAAUACUUAAAACAUUGGAUCCUUGUCGGAGGAGGUCAAGAUCAUCGACUCAAGUCACCUUUCUUGAUCAAGAAGGACGACCCUGGUGUUCCAAGCAUUGAGUGCACAAUCAACAGAUACUCUUUUUAGAAGACACUCUACGACACCGGAUCUGACGACAACAUAAUGGCCGCAGUCACUUAUCAGCUCCUGCAUGGAACCAUGCCCCUACAACCAAUAUAUAUUCAGCUCCAGAUGAUUUUCAGAACAUUGACAUGGGAGAAGACGAGUACGAUCCACCCAUCAUCCUUGGAAGACCAUUCCUCAACACUAUCAAAGUUAUCAUCUACAUUGGAACCGGAGAAGUCCACAUGCACUUCCCCUCUGAGAAGGUACGCCGCUAUUUUACUGACCCUAACUAUUUAGUUGAAGACUCUAAGCAGGUUAGGACAAGAAGAAGACAACCCAACCGCAACCAGAGGAGGCAAAUCAUCAAGGACAGAUGGGUAGACUACGAAGGAGAAGUGAUAAGGUCUGAAGACAUACAGCUUGAACAGAACUGUCCUGAGGAGACUGUAGCACCAAGUUAGGUGUGGAGAGAGAAGAUAGUUAUACACGAAGAAGAGGCGCCACCGGAAUCACCGACUACGCCACCUAGCGAAUCCCAGGACGACUGAAAACACAAGGAGUCCCGUUCGGAGGACUUAAAAACACCGAACGCCUUGCCAAGAGGUAAACCUGGUAGUUAUCCUUUUUCUUUCAAUUAUUCAAUUAUAGUUUGCUUAGUUAAUCAGGUUCAUGCUAUCUUGAAAAGAAAAUAAAAAUGUUAAAAAAAAUAGUAAGCCCCAUGUGAGUAUGCUCAUGGCAUAAAACCCAUAAGUAAAUUCACUGUGAUGGCAUAAAAAUAAAAUAAAUAAGUUUUCAUCUUACAAUAAAAAUAUAAAAAUAAUAAGUGCAUGAUCCUGCUAAAUAAGUAACAUUUAUUGAGGAGGCUCAACAUGAUAAAGGCUAGAUAUUUAUGCUAACACUUAACCAGUUCCACAAAGCUUUGUUGUCUAUUUGAGCUCCACAGAAUUCAAGGAUCAAAGAAGACUAGCAGACGGAGGACAUCCUAAUCGCUGUCAGGGUGCUGCCGACAUUCAAAUACACCUACAUCACCUCCUAGCUACAUAAGAAGAAAUUACGUCAAAAUCCAGCUUGGGGGAGAGCACCCCC